CAGCUGCAGUACACGCAAGAAGGUUGGGGAGACACGAAACAAAUAAAAACAUACAAAGUCAAGAAAAACCGUUAGGCAGGACGAAGCAGUGCUUUCUACUUGGUUAGAUCUUUAAGAUGCCGGAGGGAAAUGGAAAAGAAGGCCGCCAAUUUACAUCCGGUCUACGGGGCUGUGCUGAAUCGUUGGUAUGAGGAAGAGCUGGAGGCGGUAUGAAAAACAGCUCGUCUCUAAAAAUUAAAUUGCGCAUACGUGUCAACGUCUUCUGGCAGAUCCUCAGGCGAUUCUGAACUAACAACAUCUACAUCUACUCUGCCAUCGGCUACUACCAGACAUCAAUGGAGUGUUCGGGGAAAAAACCCAAAAAACAUCCCAAUCUUGAGAAUACAAUGUGUACGUGGGGUACCGGAUGUCACUCAGGAUCUCAUGACACUACAAUUAGCUCUUGCGGUUUUCAGAAUUUUCAUCUCCACUACAAAAAACUGGGAUAGUGUUGUCGCCGAUGACAUCCGAGUACUUGCGAAAUUCCAACUCAACAGCAUAUUUCGAAUGGCAUAAGAAUUUCGAUCUUGUUUCGACGAGUUGCGAAAUGUCACAGUUCUUUUUUUUUUUUUUUUUGUGAGCAUUCAUGGUAUUACAGGAAUAAUGUGACACGAUGGAGAUGAAUUAACAAGACUUUAUUGAGGAAAACCUGUUGUACCCAUAACAAUGAACUGCGUUUAGCCAGCAGGUUUCCAAAGAAUGAUAUAGCCGUUCCCACCAAAUUUUUUGUUUUGUUUUGAUUUGUUCUGGUUUUCUGACUUUUUCUCGUACUAGUCAGUGCAACCAAUUUCAAACCGGAGCUUCAGCUCGAGGCUAUCACACUUUCAAAAAUGCUCUGGCUAGUGCCACCACCCUCUCGUCACGUAGCUUGCAAGAUACACUGUUUUACUAAGCGUCUGACUCCCCGAGUGAUAUAGAAAUAUAUCUUGUUUCAAUUUUAACGCAGUUAAAUGAUAAGAUAAAUGCGUAAAACCUUCUGCUGCCCAAGUAAAACAUUGCAAGACAAGGAGGCCAUUCAUUCUCUGAAGAUUCAAUUACCGGUUCACGAAGAACAACAAAGUUGAGAAAUCAAUUCAAUUGAUCUUGUGUUGCCCUUUGCCGUCGUAAGAGAGGCAAAAUAAAACGAAAACAGACUUUCUUUGGAUCCUCGUAGUUGUAUCCGUUACCGCCAGGUGGCAGUGUAAAAAGAGUGAAAAGUUAAAAACAACAAAGUAAAACAGGACCACUGAAGGAAAAAUAACACAUUCUGUUAUUCAAGGUUCGAGAAAUACUGAUUUACCACCAAGCACCAUAUUUUUUUCCGCUUUAUAGGUUCCUAGUAGGCUCUCCAAUGACGUGUUAACUCUAUCGAGUCACUUCUGUGUACUAGACAAUUAUAGGUAG
RNAcentral lists this long non-coding RNA (1422 nucleotides) under Daphnia magna. RNAcentral describes it as "uncharacterized LOC116921162, transcript variant X4". The record is from RNAcentral. Lineage: Eukaryota; Metazoa; Arthropoda; Branchiopoda; Diplostraca; Daphniidae.